AGCGAACGCUGGCGGCAGGCUUAACACAUGCAAGUCGAGCGGGCGUAGCAAUACGUCAGCGGCAGACGGGUGAGUAACGCGUGGGAACGUACCUUUUGGUUCGGAACAACCCAGGGAAACUUGGGCUAAUACCGGAUAAGCCCUUACGGGGAAAGAUUUAUCGCCGAAAGAUCGGCCCGCGUCUGAUUAGCUAGUUGGUGAGGUAACGGCUCACCAAGGCGACGAUCAGUAGCUGGUCUGAGAGGAUGAUCAGCCACAUUGGGACUGAGACACGGCCCAAACUCCUACGGGAGGCAGCAGUGGGGAAUAUUGGACAAUGGGCGCAAGCCUGAUCCAGCCAUGCCGCGUGAGUGAUGAAGGCCCUAGGGUUGUAAAGCUCUUUUGUGCGGGAAGAUAAUGACGGUACCGCAAGAAUAAGCCCCGGCUAACUUCGCGCCAGCAGCCGCUGUAAU
Molecule: ribosomal RNA, 452 nt
Filed under: uncultured bacterium
Lineage: Bacteria
Description: bacterial SSU rRNA
Rfam family: Bacterial small subunit ribosomal RNA
Source: RNAcentral